Molecule: ribosomal RNA, 448 nt
Filed under: uncultured bacterium
Lineage: Bacteria
Description: partial 16S ribosomal RNA
Rfam family: Bacterial small subunit ribosomal RNA
Source: RNAcentral
CCUACGGGGGGCUGCAGUGGGGAAUUUUGGACAAUGGGGGCAACCCUGAUCCAGCCAUGCCGCGUGCGGGAAGAAGGCCUUCGGGUUGUAAACCGCUUUUAGUCGGGAAGAAAAGGCAGGGGCUAACACCUCUUGUUCUUGACGGUACCGGCGGAAUAAGCACCGGCUAACUACGUGCCAGCAGCCGCGGUAAUACGUAGGGUGCGAGCGUUAAUCGGAAUUACUGGGCGUAAAGCGUGCGCAGGCGGGAAAGCCCCGGGCUCAACCUGGGAAUGGCAUUGGAAACUGGCAAGCUCGAGUGCGGCAGAGGGGGGUGGAAUUCCGCGUGUAGCAGUGAAAUGCGUAGAGAUGCGGAGGAACACCGAUGGCGAAGGCAGCCCCCUGGGCCGACACUGACGCUCAGGCACGAAAGCGUGGGGAGCAAACAGGAUUAGAUACCCCUGUAGUC